AUUGAACGCUAACGGCGUGCUUAACACAUGCAAGUCGAGCGGCAGCAUGAUCUGUAGCAAUACAGAUUGAUGGCGAGCGGCGGACGGGUGAGUAAUGCAUAGGAAUCUGCCUUGUAGUGGGGGAUAACCCGGGGAAACUCGGGCUAAUACCGCAUAAUCUCUACGGAGCAAGGUGGGGGAUCGUAAGACCUCACGCUAAAAGAUGAGCCUAUGUAGGGUUAGCUAGUUGGUGGGGUAAUGGCUCACCAAGGCGACGAUCCAUAGCUGGUCUGAGAGGAUGAUCAGCCACACUGGGACUGAGACACGGCCCAGACUCCUACGGGAGGCAGCAGUGGGGAAUAUUGGACAAUGGGCGAAAGCCUGAUCCAGCAACGCCGUGUGUGUGAAGAAGGCCUUCGGGUUGUAGAGCACUUUUAGUUGGGAAGAAAAGCUCAUGGGUAAUAUCCAUGAGUGCUGACGUUACCAACAGAAAAAGCACUGGCUAACUCUGUGCCAGCCGCCGCCGUAA
RNAcentral lists this ribosomal RNA (508 nucleotides) under uncultured bacterium. RNAcentral's name for it is "partial 16S ribosomal RNA". It matches the Rfam family "Bacterial small subunit ribosomal RNA", at positions 30 to 523 of the family's 1533-position model. The record is from RNAcentral.